Molecule: long non-coding RNA, 721 nt
Filed under: Coturnix japonica (Japanese quail)
Lineage: Eukaryota; Metazoa; Chordata; Aves; Galliformes; Phasianidae
Description: lncRNA (ENSCJPG00005014054.1)
Source: RNAcentral
CAGAAACUGAACUUACAUAAAACAACAAGAACACUUUUGCCACUAAAAUGUGAUUUAAAAAGAUACUGUGAAAGGAGGUAAGAAGCAUUAGGCAGUGCAACUUCAGAAAACAGGUGUCUUCCUGGAAUUAAAGAAUAUACCCGUGAACACUUUAGUUAAAAGUGAUCAUUUAUGUUCAUUCUUGGGUGGCAAAAAGUUUAACUCAUUUGGUUCUCACUGAGUAUGUGCUGAUGUUCUAUGAUGAGGAGCAGAGAUACCUGACUUGUGGUUUAUGUGUAUUUCUUGCCCCAUGAUUCCUCAUGUAAGGUUCUUGAUCUGCUCCAAUGCAGGUCAAGAAAAGCUCCAGCUUUUUUUUGUAGAACUGUUCAGGAUGGAGUAGAUGUUCUCCAUUGCUUUUCAGGUUUCAGUUCCCUCCUGCGUAUCCCUGGGACCCCCCAGCCCAUGAAGAGUCUCCAGACAGGAGUGUACCUCUGGAGAACAGGAUUUCUGUACCACGGUGUGGAUAAACACCAGCAGAAGGAGGACAGGUUUCGUGUUUAUAGAACGAAGAAGGACAUCUUGUAAAGGCGCCUUUUUAUGUGUGGAGAGACCAUAAAAAUGAGACAGGAAGUAGAUGGCUCUUCCAGCCAGUAGACUCCAUCACUGAAACUUAAGACCUAAUUAGAUCCUUCAAAGCACCUUGGAAGCAAUAAACCACAAAGGUACUUAAGCUGACGACUCA